UUAAGUUCAGCGGGUAUCCCUACCUGAUCCGAGGUCAACCUGAUAAAAAUUGGGGUUGUUGGCAAGCAACCGACCGGACCCUAUAGCGAGGAGUAUUACUACGCUUAGAGCCGACCGGCACCGCCACUGAUUUUAGAGGCCGCUGGUGGGCGGGCCCCAAUACCAAGCUAAGCUUGAGUGGUAUAAUGACGCUCGAACAG
RNAcentral lists this unclassified non-coding RNA (200 nucleotides) under Ascomycota sp. RNAcentral's name for it is "partial internal transcribed spacer 2". Lineage: Eukaryota; Fungi; Ascomycota. The record is from RNAcentral.